RNAcentral lists this ribosomal RNA (471 nucleotides) under uncultured bacterium. RNAcentral's name for it is "partial 16S ribosomal RNA". It matches the Rfam family "Bacterial small subunit ribosomal RNA", at positions 28 to 507 of the family's 1533-position model. The record is from RNAcentral.
GACGAACGCUGGCGGCGUGCUUAACACAUGCAAGUCGAACGAUGAAGCCUAGCUUGCUAGGUGGAUUAGUGGCGAACGGGUGAGUAAUACGUGAGUAACCUACCUUUAACUCUGGGAUAAGCCCGGGAAACUGGGUCUAAUACCGGAUACGACCAAUCUCCGCAUGGGGUGUUGGUGGAAAGCGUUAUGUAGUGGUUAUAGAUGGGCUCACGGCCUAUCAGCUUGUUGGUGAGGUAACGGCUCACCAAGGCGACGACGGGUAGCCGGCCUGAGAGGGUGACCGGCCACACUGGGACUGAGGCACGGCCCAGACUCCUACGGGAGGCAGCAGUGGGGAAUAUUGCACAAUGGGCGCAAGCCUGAUGCAGCGACGCCGCGUGAGGGAUGACGGCCUUCGGGUUGUAAACCUCUGUUAGCAGGGAAGAAGAGAGAUUGACGGUACCUGCAGAGAAAGCGCCGGCUAACUACGUG